CUGACAUUAGAUACCCGGGUAGUCCCAGCCGUAAACAAUGUGCGUUAGGUGUGUCGGUAACCACGCGUUACUGAUGCGCCGAAGAGAAAUCGUGAAACGCACCACCUGGGAAGUACGGUCGCAAGGCUGAAACUUAAAGGAAUUGGCGGGGGAGCACCACAACAGGUGGAGCCUGCGGUUUAAUUGGAUUCAACGCCGGACAUCUCACCGGAUAAGACAGCUGAAUGAUUGUCAAUCUGAAGGUUUUACAUGACUAGCUG
Molecule: ribosomal RNA, 260 nt
Filed under: uncultured archaeon
Lineage: Archaea
Description: partial 16S ribosomal RNA
Rfam family: Archaeal small subunit ribosomal RNA
Source: RNAcentral